Molecule: long non-coding RNA, 315 nt
Filed under: Elaeis guineensis (African oil palm)
Lineage: Eukaryota; Viridiplantae; Streptophyta; Magnoliopsida; Arecales; Arecaceae
Description: long non-coding RNA (EGUI_LNC011746)
Source: RNAcentral
UAAUAAAUAUAUAACAAACUAUACUUAGAGGGGUAUAUGUGUAAAACUAUCAACAAAAUUUUUGCUUCAUGGGGCACCUAUACAAUGCCUGUUUGGCUCUUUUGGACUAAAGUGAUAACCUGAACCGAUGAAGAUAUUUGGCAAAAGACCAGGUAGAAGUGCGGAACAAACCGGCAGUAAUUGUAUAACGGCUCAAUUAUUAAGAUCAGCAAACUAAAAUGGCUUAAUCAUUUAUUACCAUGUAAAUCAUUAUUGCAACGUGGCAACCCAUUAACCCCUAGGGGAGUAGAUUUGCAUAAUCUAGUCUCGUGGUGG